Long non-coding RNA from Octopus sinensis (East Asian common octopus), 175 nucleotides. RefSeq lists it as uncharacterized. The record is from RefSeq and is a predicted model, not a curated record. Lineage: Eukaryota; Metazoa; Mollusca; Cephalopoda; Octopoda; Octopodidae. The transcript has 3 exons.
CACACUGAAUCUCCCCGAGAACUACGUUAAGGGUGCACAUGUCUGUGGAGUGCUCAGCCACUUGCACGUUAAUUUCACGAGCAGGCUGUUCCGCUGAUCGGAUCAACCGGAACCCUCGUCGUCAUAAGCAACGGAGUGCCAACAAAACAAAGCGCACUUUGUACCAUCUCAAUAU